Molecule: ribosomal RNA, 460 nt
Filed under: uncultured bacterium
Lineage: Bacteria
Description: partial 16S ribosomal RNA
Rfam family: Bacterial small subunit ribosomal RNA
Source: RNAcentral
CCUACGGGGAGCAGCAGUGAGGACUAUUGGUCAAUGGACGCAAGUCUGAACCAGCCAUGCCGCGUGCAGGAAGACGGCUCUAUGAGUUGUACACUGCUUUUGUACGGGGGUAAACGCAGAUACGCGUAUCUGUCUGAAAGUAGCGUACGAAUAAGGAUCGGCUAACUCCGUGCCAGCAGCCGCGGUAAUACGGAGGAUUCAAGCGUUAUCCGGAUUUAUUGGGUUUAACGGGUUCGUAGGCGGUCGGAUAAGUUAGAGGUGAAAUCCCGAGGCUCAACUUCGGAAUUGCCUCUGAUACUGUUCGGCUAGAGAGUAGUUGCGGUAGGCGGAAUGUAUGGUGUAGCGGUGAAAUGCUUAGAGAUCAUACAGAACACCGAUUGCGAAGGCAGCUUACCAAGCUACUUCUGACGUUGAGGCACGAAAGCGUGGGGAGCAAACAGGAUUAGAUACCCCAGUAGUC